RNAcentral lists this ribosomal RNA (384 nucleotides) under uncultured cyanobacterium. RNAcentral's name for it is "bacterial SSU rRNA". It matches the Rfam family "Bacterial small subunit ribosomal RNA", at positions 376 to 774 of the family's 1533-position model. The record is from RNAcentral. Lineage: Bacteria; Bacillati; Cyanobacteriota.
CGAAAGCCUGACGGAGCAAUACCGCGUGAGGGAAGACUGCCUAUGGGUUGUAAACCUCUUUUUUCAGGGAGGAAUCAAUGACGUGUACCUGAAGAAUAAGCAUCGGCUAACUCCGUGCCAGCAGCCGCGGUAAGACGGAGGAUGCAAGUGUUAUCCGGAAUCACUGGGCGUAAAGCGUCUGUAGGUGGUUUAAUAAGUCAACUGUUAAAUCUUGAGGCUCAACUUCAAAAUCGCAGUCGAAACUAUUAGACUAGAGUAUAGUAGAGGUAAAGGGAAUUUCCAGUGGAGCGGUGAAAUGCGUAGAUAUUGGAAAGAACACCGAUGGCGAAAGCACUUUACUGGGCUAUUACUAACACUCAGAGACGAAAGCUAGGGUAGCAAAUG